GAAGCGUGCGAUUGGAUUGCACGUCUAAGCAGUAAGGCUGAGUAUUAGGCAAAUCCGGUACUCGUUAAGGCUGAGCUGUGAUGGGGAGAAGACAUUGUGUCUUCGAGUCGUUGAUUUCACACUGCCGAGAAAAGCCUCUAGAUAGAAAAUAGGUGCCCGUACCGCAAACCGACACAGGUAGUCAAGAUGAGAAUUCUAAGGUGAGCGAGCGAACUCUCGUUAAGGAACUCGGCAAAAUGACCCCGUAACUUCGGGAGAAGGGGUGCUCUUUAGGGUUAACGCCCAGAAGAGCCGCAGUGAAUAGGCCCAAGCGACUGUUUAUCAAAAACACAGGUCUCUGCUAAACCGUAAGGUGAUGUAUAGGGGCUGACGCCUGCCCGGUGCUGGAAGGUUAAGAGGAGUGGUUAGCUUCUGCGAAGCUACGAAUCGAAGCCCCAGUAAACGGCGGCCGUAACUAUAACGGUCCUAAGGUAGCGAAAUUCCUUGUCGGGUAAGUUCCGACCCGCACGAAAGGCGUAACGAUUUGGGCACUGUCUCAACGAGAGACUCGGUGAAAUCAUAGUACCUGUGAAGAUGCAGGUUACCCGCGACAGGACGGAAAGACCCCGUGGAGCUUUACUGUAGCCUGAUAUUGAAAUUCGGCACAGCUUGUACAGGAUAGGUAGGAGCCUUUGAAACGUGAGCGCUAGCUUACGUGGAGGCGCUGGUGGG
RNAcentral lists this ribosomal RNA (711 nucleotides) under Staphylococcus aureus. RNAcentral's name for it is "partial 23S ribosomal RNA". It matches the Rfam family "Bacterial large subunit ribosomal RNA", at positions 1488 to 2196 of the family's 2925-position model. The record is from RNAcentral. Lineage: Bacteria; Bacillati; Bacillota; Bacilli; Caryophanales; Staphylococcaceae.